Molecule: non-coding RNA, 71 nt
Filed under: Escherichia coli
Lineage: Bacteria; Pseudomonadati; Pseudomonadota; Gammaproteobacteria; Enterobacterales; Enterobacteriaceae
Also listed under: 9 other names
Description: Nucleoid-associated noncoding RNA 4 (CssrE)
Rfam family: Nucleoid-associated noncoding RNA 4 (CssrE)
About the family: In E. coli small RNA transcribed from repeated extragenic palindromic element (REP325) called nucleoid-associated ncRNA 4 (nRNA4) collaborates HU protein in condensing the DNA. The secondary structure but not the sequence of the RNA is important in nucleoid condensation.
Source: RNAcentral
GGCCGGAUAAGGCGUUUACGCCGCAUCCGGCAAUCAAUGCCUGAUGCGACGCUGUCGCGUCUUAUCAGGCC